Molecule: ribosomal RNA, 497 nt
Filed under: uncultured bacterium
Lineage: Bacteria
Description: partial 16S ribosomal RNA
Rfam family: Bacterial small subunit ribosomal RNA
Source: RNAcentral
GAUGAACGCUGGCGGCGUGCCUAAUACAUGCAAGUCGAGCGAACAGACGAGGAGCUUGCUCCUCUGACGUUAGCGGCGGACGGGUGAGUAACACGUGGAUAACCUACCUAUAAGACUGGGAUAACUUCGGGAAACCGGAGCUAAUACCGGAUAAUAUAUUGAACCGCAUGGUUCAAUAGUGAAAGACGGUUUUGCUGUCACUUAUAGAUGGAUCCGCGCCGCAUUAGCUAGUUGGUAAGGUAACGGCUUACCAAGGCAACGUUGCGUAGCCGACCUGAGAGGGUGAUCGGCCACACUGGAACUGAGACACGGUCCAGACUCCUACGGGAGGCAGCAGUAGGGAAUCUUCCGCAAUGGGCGAAAGCCUGACGGAGCAACGCCGCGUGAGUGAUGAAGGUCUUCGGAUCGUAAAACUCUGUUAUUAGGGAAGAACAAAUGUGUAAGUAACUAUGCACGUCUUGACGGUACCUAAUCAGAAAGCCACGGCUAACUACGUG